AUGUCGAGCUCUCUUCGACGGCCAGCGGCUGCCAGACCCAUCUCCAAACCAUCCGCCAAGGGCCUCAACAGCCAUAACCGAUGGUCCUCUCUAGCCAAUCUGGCUGAGGAAGAAGAUGAAUCGGACCGGCUCAGCAAUUUGCCUGAGGGCGUGUUGCUCGAUAUUUUAGGGCGACUUGACAUCGCAGAUGCUGCUAGAACUAGAAUCCUCGCCAGACGGUGGAAGGAGAUUCCUACCAUGCUCUCCAAUUAUUUUAUAACAGUUGGUUCGUAUGACGAUGAGCACAAUAGAGGGUUGACCUGUGAUGAUGUAGCUCGGGCCAAUGCCACCGUCCUUGGAGCAACCAGGAGCUUGCUGGAAAGCAGGACUAGUACAAGCCUAUGCACCUCCAUUAAGCUCCUGCGCGUGCAAUUCUUCUUGGGAGAUGGAGAUGUUACUAGUAUCGGCCAGUCUCUUGCCAACACCAUGGCAAUGAACAAGGUUGGGUCAGCGGAAUUAACUCUCUUUACAAUGAAGGAAAGCACACGAUGCAGAAAGGACAAUGUUGUCACUUAUGGGAUGCAGUUUAAGUCAUUUUUUGACGCCUGUCCAAAGGCAUUCAGUGGUCUGGCAAGACUCAAGCUAGAAAAUUUGAGGCUAGCUGAAUCAUCGGGCUUCCCUGAAAUUCUCAGUGUAUGCAAGCAACUGGAGUUCCUCCGCCUGUAUAACUGCGACAUGGGGUACCUUUCUUUGCUAGAAGUGUCACACCCACUACUCUGUGAACUCGAGAUUGUCAAGUGUGAUUUUGAGAGGGUUGAUCUCGUGUGGCUACCAAAGCUCACAGUGCUGACUUAUUCUUGGUGGGUCUGUGAGCAUGAUCCUUUGUCUUUUGAUUAUGUCCCACUGCUCCAGACUCUGAGCCUCACCAGUAUGGCUCUUGCACGGCACAAGGUGCUCAAGUUAAGUGACUUCCUUGGCAAAGCCACCGUAAGCGACCUGCAUCUAAAUUUUCUGUGUGAAAAGAUCUGGGUUAAACCAGAAGAACCAGAUCAAUUGUUGCAGGUGUUCCACAAAUUAAGGCAUGUGACUUUGACCCACAUCUCUGAAGAAUGCGAUCUGAAUUGGACAAUGUUCAUUCUCCAAGGUGCACCGUACCUUGAGGAGCUAUGCAUCAAGGUGUGGGAUCAUCCAUGUGAUAUUAUAGAGGAUGAGAGGCUUAGGAAGAUGUAUGGGUUUAGCGAGGACAAGAAGGACGCAUGUGCAGUGUGGGAAGCGCCUGCAGAUUUCAAGCACCACAAUUUGUCUGUGCUCAGGGUCUUUGGGUUUCAGUGCGAGGAGAGGUUUGUGAAUUUCGUCAAAAGUGUCAUGGAAGCAUCGGUCGCUCUGCAGGACAUAUACUUGUGUGAGACGCCGGUGUGUGCGGACUGUGAGCACAUGAGGCAGAAUGACAGAUACCCGCGGACAAGCAAGCUUAGGACCAUGCUUAGGAACAUAUUUGACAGGGGGAUGUGCUCGCCUCUGAGGAUUCAUUUCCCACUUUCAAGAACAAACUGA
RNAcentral lists this ribosomal RNA (1533 nucleotides) under Triticum aestivum (bread wheat). RNAcentral describes it as "partial small subunit ribosomal RNA". The record is from RNAcentral. Lineage: Eukaryota; Viridiplantae; Streptophyta; Magnoliopsida; Poales; Poaceae.